RNAcentral lists this ribosomal RNA (407 nucleotides) under uncultured bacterium. RNAcentral's name for it is "partial 16S ribosomal RNA". It matches the Rfam family "Bacterial small subunit ribosomal RNA", at positions 30 to 526 of the family's 1533-position model. The record is from RNAcentral.
AUUGAACGCUGGCGGCAGGCCUAACACAUGCAAGUCGAGCGGAGCGUCGGACGGGUGAGUAAUGCCUAGGAAUCAGCCUGUUAGUGGGCUAUAACGUCCGGAAACGGGCGCCAAUACCGCAUACUAUCAGAUCACCCUAGGUGGCAUUAGCUGGUUGGAGGGGUAAAGGCCUACCAAGGCGACGAUCCGUAACCGGCCUGAGAGGAUGAUCAGUCACACUGGAACUGAGACACGGUCCAGACUCCUACUGGAGGCAGCAGUGGGGAAUAUUGGGCAAUGGGCGAAAGUCUGACCGAGCAACGCCGCGUGAGUGAAGAAGGUCUUCGGAUCGUAAAGCACUUUUGGUAGAGAAGCGGUACCUAAACAGUAAGCCCCGGCUAACUUCGUGCCAGCAGCCGCGGUAAUAC